Onychostoma macrolepis is the source of this 160-nucleotide long non-coding RNA. RefSeq lists it as uncharacterized. NCBI's taxonomy places the organism in Eukaryota, Metazoa, Chordata, Actinopteri, Cypriniformes, Cyprinidae. The transcript is spliced from 2 exons. The record is from RefSeq and is a predicted model, not a curated record.
UCCUCCUCCCUUCACCCUGCAGGGAAGCACUGCUUAUGGUGGAUCACCUCAAGAUGCCGCAAGUCCAUUUGCCCCUGGGUAUGAAUCCUCUUAUGGAAGAGUGUCACUGUCCUCACCCCAAGCUGGUCCAUCUACUACUGUUCAGGGUUCACGGAAGCAG